GGUCCUGUAGUGCAGUGGUUAUCACGUCUGCUUCACACACAGAAGGUCGCCGGUUCGAGCCCGGCCAGGACCU
This is a non-coding RNA of Angiostrongylus cantonensis (rat lungworm), 73 nucleotides long. The record is from Rfam. NCBI's taxonomy places the organism in Eukaryota, Metazoa, Nematoda, Chromadorea, Rhabditida, Metastrongylidae.